Molecule: transfer RNA, 62 nt
Filed under: Gonodactylaceus randalli
Lineage: Eukaryota; Metazoa; Arthropoda; Malacostraca; Stomatopoda; Gonodactylidae
Description: tRNA-Cys
Source: RNAcentral
AGUUUAAGCUAAAAUGUCAGACUGCAAUUCUGGAGAUACAAUAGUGUUGGAGCUUUGGUAAG